GAUGAACGCUGGCGGCGUGCCUAAUACAUGCCAGUCGAACGAACGGACGAGAAGCUUGCUUCUCUGAUGUUAGCCGCAGACGGGAGUGUAACACGUGGAUAACCUACCUAUAAUACUGGGAUAACUUCGAGAAACCGGAGCUAAUACCGUAUGAUCUUUUGAACCGCAUGGUUGAAAAGUGAAAUACGGUCUUUCUGUCUCUUAUAGAUGGAUCCGCGCUGCAUUAGCUAGUUGGUAAGGUAACGGCUUACGAAGGCAACGAUGCAUAGCCGACGUGAGAGGGGGAUAGGCCACACUGGAACUGAGACACGGUCCAGAGGCCUACGGGAGGCAGCAGUAGGGAAUCUUCCGCAAUGGGCGAAAGCCUGACGGAGCAACGCGGCGUGAGUGAUGAAGGUGUUCGGAUCGUAAAACUGUGUUAUGAGGGAAGAACAUAUGUGUAAGUAACUGUGCACAUCUUGACGGUAACUAAUCAGAAAGCCACGGCUAACUACGUG
This 497-nucleotide ribosomal RNA is filed under the name uncultured bacterium. RNAcentral describes it as "partial 16S ribosomal RNA". It matches the Rfam family "Bacterial small subunit ribosomal RNA", at positions 28 to 507 of the family's 1533-position model. The record is from RNAcentral.